UGGGGAAUAUUGCACAAUGGAGGGAACUCUGAUGCAGCGACGCCGCGUGAACGAAGAAGGCUUUCGAGUCGUAAAGUUCUUUUAUAUGGGAAGAUAAUGACGGUACCAUAAGAAAAAGCCCCGGCUAACUACGUGCCAGCAGCCGCGGUAAUACGUAGGUGGCAAGCGUUGUCCGGAUUUAUUGGGCGUAAAGCGAGCGCAGGCGGUCAAUUAAGUCUGAUGUGAAAGCCCCCGGCUCAACCGGGGAGGGUCAUUGGAAACUGGUUGACUUGAGUGCAGAAGAGGAGAGUGGAAUUCCAUGUGUAGCGGUGAAAUGCGUAGAUAUAUGGAGAAACACCAGUGGCGAAGGCGACUCUCUGGUCUGUAACUGACGCUGAGGCUCGAAAGCGUGGGUAGCAAACAGG
Molecule: ribosomal RNA, 404 nt
Filed under: Bacteroidota bacterium
Lineage: Bacteria; Pseudomonadati; Bacteroidota
Description: Bacteroidetes bacterium partial 16S ribosomal RNA
Rfam family: Bacterial small subunit ribosomal RNA
Source: RNAcentral